UACGUAGGCAGCAAGCGUUGUUCGGAGUUACUGGGCGUAAAGGGUGUGUAGGCGGUUCUCUAAGUUUGGGGUGAAAUCUCCCGGCUCAACUGGGAGGGUGCGCCGAAAACUGGAGAGCUAGAGUACUGGAUGGGAGAGUGGAAUUCCUGGUGUAGCGGUGAAAUGCGUAGAUAUCAGGAGGAACACCGGUGGUGUAGACGGCUCUCUGGACAGUAACUGACGCUGAGACACGAAAGCGUGGGUAGCAAACAGG
This 253-nucleotide ribosomal RNA is filed under the name uncultured bacterium. Its description in RNAcentral is "partial 16S ribosomal RNA". It matches the Rfam family "Bacterial small subunit ribosomal RNA", at positions 524 to 776 of the family's 1533-position model. The record is from RNAcentral.